Molecule: ribosomal RNA, 503 nt
Filed under: uncultured bacterium
Lineage: Bacteria
Description: partial 16S ribosomal RNA
Rfam family: Bacterial small subunit ribosomal RNA
Source: RNAcentral
AACGAACGCUGGCGGCGUGUUUAAGACAUGCAAGUCGCACGGGAUAAGACAUGUAGUAAUACUUGUUUUAUUUAGUGGCGCACGGGUGAGUAACACGUGAAUUACAUGCCCUAUAGUGGGGAAUAGCCCAGGGAAACUUGGAUUAAUACCCCAUGGUAUCGAAAGAUUAAAGGUGGCCGCAAGGCUGUCGCUAUAGGAUUGGUUCGCGCCCUACAAGCUUGUUGGUGAGGUAACGGCUCACCAAGGCAAUGACGGGUACCUGGUCUGAGAGGACGAUCAGGCACACUGGAACUGAGACACGGUCCAGACACCUACGGGUGGCAGCAGUCGAGAAUAAUUCACAAUGGGGGCAACCCUGAUGGUGCAACGCCGCGUGGAGGAUGACGGUCUUCGGAUUGUAAACUCCUGUCAUCUGGGAGAAAGACCUGACGGUAAAUAGCCGGCAGGGUUGAUAGUACCAGAAGAGGAAGGGACGGCUAACUUCGUGCCAGCCGCCGCCGUAA